GGCUGAGGCUGGGGAGGAGGUGGUCUAGAGGUUAUACUGCCCAAGCCCUGCCUCCUGUUCUCCCCAG
RNAcentral lists this microRNA precursor (67 nucleotides) under Mesocricetus auratus (golden hamster). Its description in RNAcentral is "miRNA (ENSMAUG00000003296.1)". The record is from RNAcentral. Lineage: Eukaryota; Metazoa; Chordata; Mammalia; Rodentia; Cricetidae.